RNAcentral lists this ribosomal RNA (468 nucleotides) under uncultured bacterium. RNAcentral's name for it is "partial 16S ribosomal RNA". It matches the Rfam family "Bacterial small subunit ribosomal RNA", at positions 28 to 507 of the family's 1533-position model. The record is from RNAcentral.
GACGAACGCUGGCGGCGUGCUUAACACAUGCAAGUCGAACGGAAAGGCCCUGCUUUUGUGGGGUGCUCGAGUGGCGAACGGGUGAGUAGCACGUGAGUAACCUGCCCUUGACUUUGGGAUAACUUCAGGAAACUGGGGCUAAUACCGGAUAGGAGCUCCUGCUGCAUGGUGGGGGUUGGAAAGUUUCGGCGGUUGGGGAUGGACUCGCGGCUUAUCAGCUUGUUGGUGGGGUAGUGGCUUACCAAGGCUUUGACGGGUAGCCGGCCUGAGAGGGUGACCGGCCAAAUUGGGACUGAGAUGCGGCCCAGACUCCUCCGGGAGGCAGGAGUGGGGAAUAGUGCACAAUGGGCGGAAGCAUGAUGCAGCAAAGCCGCGUGGGGGAUGACGGCCUUCGGGUUGUAAACCGCUUUCGCCUGUGACGAAGCGUGAGUGACGGUAAUGGGUAAAGAAGCACCGGCUAACUACGUG